RNAcentral lists this ribosomal RNA (492 nucleotides) under uncultured bacterium. RNAcentral's name for it is "partial 16S ribosomal RNA". It matches the Rfam family "Bacterial small subunit ribosomal RNA", at positions 29 to 507 of the family's 1533-position model. The record is from RNAcentral.
AGUGAACGCUGGCGGUAGGCCUAACACAUGCAAGUCGAACGGCAGCACAGUAAGAGCUUGCUCUUACGGGUGGCGAGUGGCGGACGGGUGAGGAAUACAUCGGAAUCUACUUUUUCGUGGGGGAUAACGUAGGGAAACUUACGCUAAUACCGCAUACGACCUACGGGUGAAAGCAGGGGAUCUUCGGACCUUGCGCGAUUGAAUGAGCCGAUGUCGGAUUAGCUAGUUCGCGGGGUAAAGGCCCACCAAGGCGACGAUCCGUAGCUGGUCUGAGAGGAUGAUCAGCCACACUGGAACUGAGACACGGUCCAGACUCCUACGGGAGGCAGCAGUGGGGAAUAUUGGACAAUGGGCGAAAGCCUGAUCCAGCCAUACCGCGUGGGUGAAGAAGGCCUUCGGGUUGUAAAGCCCUUUUGUUGGGAAAGAAAAGCAGCAGGUUAAUACCCCGCUGUUCUGACGGUACCCAAAGAAUAAGCACCGGCCAACUUCGUG